UACAUUUAACUGAAAGAACAACCAGAAAGAAGAUGAUGAUCAUCAGCGUCUGUAUCUGGACACUCAUUCUUUUUGUUCAAGAAACUACAGGACAAAUUUCUGUGACUCAGACUCCCUCAGUAGCAGCUGUUCAACCAGGAGAAACAGUUACUUUAAACUGUCAAACUAGCAGAGGAAUCGGAGAUCGUUCACGGGGUUGUGGUGACUGUCUCUCCUGGUAUCUGCAGAAACCUGGAGAAGCUCCUAAACUCCUCAUUUAUGGCAUUAGCUCACGACAGUCAGGAACUCCAUCUAGAUUCAGUGGCAAUGGAGCAAAUUAUGGAACAGAUUUCACUCUGACCAUCAGUGGAGUCCAGACUGAAGAUGCUGGACAUUAUUACUGUCUGAGUUUCCACUACAUCAACAGUAUAAAUAUAUUCACACAGUGA
Molecule: non-coding RNA, 428 nt
Organism: Sinocyclocheilus rhinocerous
Lineage: Eukaryota; Metazoa; Chordata; Actinopteri; Cypriniformes; Cyprinidae
Source: the annotation of a RefSeq genome assembly